Molecule: ribosomal RNA, 301 nt
Filed under: uncultured bacterium
Lineage: Bacteria
Description: partial 16S ribosomal RNA
Rfam family: Bacterial small subunit ribosomal RNA
Source: RNAcentral
CAGCCGCCGCGGGAAAACGUAGGGUGCAAGCGUUAAUCGGAAUUACUGGGCGUAAAGCGUGCGUAGGCGGCUUUUUAAGUCGGAUGUGAAAUCCCUGAGCUUAACUUAGGAAUUGCAUUCGAUACUGGGAAGCUAGAGUAUGGGAGAGGAUGGUAGAAUUCCAGGUGUAGCGGUGAAAUGCGUAGAGAUCUGGAGGAAUACCGAUGGCGAAGGCAGCCAUCUGGCCUAAUACUGACGCUGAGGUACGAAAGCAUGGGGAGCAAACAGGAUUAGAUACCCGUGUAGUCCCUGUCUCUUAUAC